UGGAAGGCCUUGUCAACGCAAUCACUGUCACUGAUGAUUAUUUAUCCAGCUUGGACGAGGCGCUCCGCUCUGCUGGCCGCCUGUGGAGUGAGUCCCUGCAUUGGAAACAAAUAUGGGUUCUAAUGUCAUGAAAACAGUACAGCCUUAUGCAAGUGUUUCCUCUUCCAAGGAUUUUGUCCUACCCUGCAGGGGAAUGACUGAAUAGUCUGAGAACUGCAUCUUCUGUCCUGAGCUU
This 235-nucleotide long non-coding RNA is filed under the name Ictidomys tridecemlineatus (thirteen-lined ground squirrel). Its description in RNAcentral is "lncRNA (ENSSTOG00000033570.1)". Lineage: Eukaryota; Metazoa; Chordata; Mammalia; Rodentia; Sciuridae. The record is from RNAcentral.